AUGUUGUUCCUGAUUUUAAUCAUUAUUUCUCUGCUCAAAGAGAAUGCUGAUGCAAAUACAAUAAAUCCACUGGUGUCAGAGAAGCACAUCACGGCAGGAGACAGUGUUACCCUCUCCUGUGAUUACAGUGGAGGUGUUAACACACUGCUGUGGUAUCGACAAUAUCCAGGACCUCAAAUUGAGCUCCUUAUAUUUGUCACUGAGCUCAAUGGCCGGUCAGAGCCUGCUUUACGACUUUCAUCUGUGGCUGAUGAAUGUAAUAAACGCAUGAAUCUCAGCAUCUUUCAGGCAGAAAUGGAAGAUUCUGCUUUGUACUACAGUGCCCUGGUGCCCACGGUGACGGGAAACACAACACUGUAA
Molecule: non-coding RNA, 360 nt
Organism: Carassius auratus (goldfish)
Lineage: Eukaryota; Metazoa; Chordata; Actinopteri; Cypriniformes; Cyprinidae
Source: the annotation of a RefSeq genome assembly